RNAcentral lists this transfer RNA (78 nucleotides) under Rosa chinensis. RNAcentral's name for it is "tRNA RchiOBHm_Chr6g0261681". It matches the Rfam family "tRNA". Rfam says of the family: Transfer RNA (tRNA) molecules are approximately 80 nucleotides in length. Lineage: Eukaryota; Viridiplantae; Streptophyta; Magnoliopsida; Rosales; Rosaceae. The record is from RNAcentral.
CCUAGCCUAUUGGCUCAGCUGGUUAGAGUGUCGUGCUGAUAACGUGAAGCUCACAGGUUCGAGACCUGAAGGGGCCAU